CAGCAGCGCGGUAAAACGAAGGGUGCAAGCGUUACUCGGAAUUACUGGGCGUAAAGCGUGCGUAGGUGGUGGUUUAAGUCCGUUGUGAAGGCCCUGGGCUCAACCUGGGAAUUGCAGUGGAUACUGGAUCACUAGAGUGUGGUAGAGGAUAGUGGAAUUUCCGGUGUAGCAGUGAAAUGCGUAGAGAUCGGAAGGAACAUCUGUGGCGAAGGCGACUAUCUGGGCCAACACUGACACUGAGGCACGAAAGCGUGGGGAGCAAACAGGAUUAGAUACCCCCGUAGUCCCUGUCUCUUAUACC
This 301-nucleotide ribosomal RNA is filed under the name uncultured bacterium. RNAcentral describes it as "partial 16S ribosomal RNA". It matches the Rfam family "Bacterial small subunit ribosomal RNA", at positions 509 to 808 of the family's 1533-position model. The record is from RNAcentral.